Non-coding RNA from Jiangella alkaliphila, 116 nucleotides. The record is from Rfam. NCBI's taxonomy places the organism in Bacteria, Bacillati, Actinomycetota, Actinomycetes, Jiangellales, Jiangellaceae.
UGAAAGUGCCUUCCGGGCAGCGGCGAUCAGGACCUCGACAAUCCAGAUCCUCCCUGCACAGAAGGCACUUUCUCUGUCACCACACCGAGCGAUCAGCUACCGGUCCACGGAUCGAG